UACGUAGGUGACAAGCGUUAUCCGGAAUUACUGGGCGUAAAGCGCACGCAGGCGGCAGCUUAAGUCUGACGUGAAAUCUCCUGGCUUAACUGGGAGAGGUCGUUGGAAACUGGGCAGCUUGAGGUGGUGAGAGGGGUGCAGAAUUCCCGGUGUAGUGGUGGAAUGCGUAGAUAUCGGGAGGAAUACCAGUGGCGAAAGCGGCGCCCUGGCACUGACCUGACGCUCAUGUGCGAAAGCGUGGGGAGCAAACGGG
RNAcentral lists this ribosomal RNA (253 nucleotides) under uncultured bacterium. RNAcentral's name for it is "partial 16S ribosomal RNA". It matches the Rfam family "Bacterial small subunit ribosomal RNA", at positions 524 to 776 of the family's 1533-position model. The record is from RNAcentral.